CGACACUGCUCUCGUUUUUAGAAAUACGCUCUUUGAAAUCUAACAGCAAAGAGAGAGAAAACUCGUUUAUUCAUCAGCGACUUGUUGUGAAGAGAGUCGACAAAAAAACCAGUAAGGACAAUGCUUUUUUCGACAAUGACUUUUUUCCAGAAAUUAUUCCAUUGCGGACGUCCGAACCGAAGCAAGUGAUUCGAUUUUUCUUUUAUUUUGAACAUUCAUCUGGGACAGUAACCGUAUCCAAUCGUGCGUGAGUAAGAAGAGCAAACUCGUCAUGGUCGCAAUGCGUUUUUCAAAAGUGCCAUCCAUGUCAGCAUCCGCUCGGACACAAUUGUGUGCGUUUUAGGAUUUUGUCGGGGUUCACGACGAUCUGGAUUCGCUGUCAUGUGAAAUAAGCCUCCAGUCUAAUAGGCGUGGAAGUUUCGCUCUACAUAAAUGAUUUUCCAGGCGCAAAAGGCGGGCAAACAUCGUGGAUCGGAACUUACCAAGGUGCUUUUUAUCUGCGAAACUUAUUUCAUAUGAGCAAACAAUCCGAAGAAGAUCUGUAAUGUAAGGUAACCGAGUACAAGCUUUUAUAACAAUUAUAUCCAACAACAACUGGAAUUCUGCAACGUCCGUUAGUACCGUCAAAAGCAGUGGAAAAUUGGUCCGAAAAUGCCAGCCAAUUGUGCGAAAUAUUCAUUAAACGAGUGAUUUCCAAGAAUCACAUUUCCCCGACAAUGAAGAGACCUUCAAGAAGCAGUCUUGAGUCGUUCGGAUUCAAUGGGGAUCUUGUGGAUUGUGGCAGUUAGUCGACAAGAACCCCAUUGGCCUGUAAGGGGAUGUUCAGCAGAACGGGUAUCGGGAUCAAGUGCUAGGCGCAAAGCAACUUGCUGACCGUCUGCAGGCAGGAACUGACCUUCCACCAAGUCCUCAGUAAGCUGAAUUCGGCACCAAGCUGCUGGGCCAAAGGAAUACCCGUCAAUAGAUCAAUGGGGAUCUUGUGGAUUUUGGAAUUGAUUUGGUCUCGAUGUAGAGAUCAAUUUAAUUUUCCGAAUCGACUAGGAACCCAGGGUUAUCUAAUGGCGUGACUACGGCGUCGGGAACUUCAACGAAGAUCAAUCAGCAGGACUUUCGAGAUCACAAUGUGAAGCGAACCGGCGAAGAACGAAGACCAGGCGGGUGAAUAAGAAGCAGCCAGAAGAUGCAACAGCACGCAGGCACCAGGUGGGAAUGGGCGCAAAAUUCCGAAGACCUCGACAACACAUGGGGAAGUACCAGAACGGGACUAGUGGAACAACCGGAUGGAUGGAAGAUAUUCAGUCAGACGGAUGAAGAAAGAAAAAACAAUGCUUUAUGGAAACGGGAUGGUUCUGUGGACACGCUCGGGUCUGGAGACUCGAAGACAUGGUUUGGGCGACGGCUACCAGAUGAAUGUGCAGCUUGAAUGAAGACUACCGGAUGGAUCAGACGGAAAACAGCAUCGACGAGAAGAAUUCCUUUGAAGAAUACCGCAAGGCAGGUGAACGGGCUCCAGGAAGCUGCAAUGGGACAUAUUUUGGGCGCAGAUUUGACCUCGCCGGACUAUCCACUCUUCAAGUCUCCAAAACUCCAAGGGGAAGAAACUUGAGCCAGCCAGCCAGCCAGCCAGCCAGCCAGAAGAAAAUGGGACUGAACAACUUGGCCGCUCUUCAAAAAGCCCUUUUUGGCAAACCAAAGCAGGCGCUAACUUGAUGCCGAUGGAAAUACGAGGAUGACCACAAUUAGAAGAAUGGAAGAUUAAGAACUUGGGGAAAACGCGCAGCUUGGUCAGGAGGGCGAGACUAAACUCGUAUCGCCUGCAUGGUAAAAUAAAGCAAUCCCAGACGUCUGGUUGGAGUGCCAUUUCAUAGUGCUUGAGGAUUCGAUCAAAGCAGUGCAAGACGGGCGUUCAUCGCAAUGUGGAAUGCGUACUUCCUGAUACUGACUGGGAUUAUUUAUUAGAUUGUGCAAGAUACAAGUACGGAACUGUCACCUCUUUCAACGGGAACCCACAGCAGAUCGCAUCAAUCAGCAAACCGUUCUCGUCCAGCUAUAUUUUACAUUGUCCAAGAAGACAUCGAUGGGUUUUUGGAUGUUUUAUAUUACUAUUCAAUCAAUGGUUGGAAUUAAAUAUUGUUGCGUUUAAAUUUGUGUUUAUGAAUAUAUCUAUCACUUGACA
This is a long non-coding RNA of Dendroctonus ponderosae (mountain pine beetle), 2176 nucleotides long. RefSeq lists it as uncharacterized. Lineage: Eukaryota; Metazoa; Arthropoda; Insecta; Coleoptera; Curculionidae. The transcript is spliced from 4 exons. The record is from RefSeq and is a predicted model, not a curated record.